Small nucleolar RNA from Cricetulus griseus (Chinese hamster), 116 nucleotides. Ensembl annotates it as small nucleolar RNA SNORA32. The record is from Ensembl. Lineage: Eukaryota; Metazoa; Chordata; Mammalia; Rodentia; Cricetidae.
AAGCAGCUACCAGGCUUUCAGAAUGUAAUUUCUCAUUUGCUGUGGACAUAACCUUAAAAAAAAAAAAAAAUCCCCAAGGGUUUUCCAUGUUAGUAGGCAACCUAUUGGGAACAUUU